AGCGUAAUAAACACGGAUAAUUCGGUUAUACUUGGUACUGAAGCACGUCCGCCAGUGUUACUCGAG
This 66-nucleotide small nucleolar RNA is filed under the name Strigomonas culicis. RNAcentral's name for it is "Trypanosomatid snoRNA TB9Cs3H1". It matches the Rfam family "Trypanosomatid snoRNA TB9Cs3H1". The record is from Rfam by way of RNAcentral. Lineage: Eukaryota; Euglenozoa; Kinetoplastea; Trypanosomatida; Trypanosomatidae.